This 128-nucleotide small RNA is filed under the name Marmota monax (woodchuck). The record is from RNAcentral. Lineage: Eukaryota; Metazoa; Chordata; Mammalia; Rodentia; Sciuridae.
GCUGGGCGCAGUGGUGCACGCCUGUAAUCCCAGUGGGUCAGGAGGCUGAGGCAGGAGGAUCACAAGUUCAGCACCAGCCUCAAGAAUGGUAAGGCUUGCUAAGCAAACUCAGUGAGAUUCUGUCUCUA